UACGUAGGGUGCGAGCGUUAAUCGGAAUUACUGGGCGUAAAGCGUGCGCAGGCGGUCUGUUAAGACCGAUGUGAAAUCCCCGGGCUUAACCUGGGAACUGCAUUGGUGACUGGCAGGCUUUGAGUGUGGCAGAGGGAGGUAGAGUUCCACGUGUAGCAGUGAAAUGCGUAGAGAUGUGGAGGAAUACCGAUGGCGAAGGCAGCCUCCUGGGCCAACACUGACGCUCAUGCACGAAAGCGUGGGGAGCAAACAGG
Molecule: ribosomal RNA, 254 nt
Filed under: uncultured bacterium
Lineage: Bacteria
Description: partial 16S ribosomal RNA
Rfam family: Bacterial small subunit ribosomal RNA
Source: RNAcentral